Suricata suricatta (meerkat) is the source of this 661-nucleotide long non-coding RNA. RefSeq lists it as uncharacterized. The transcript has 3 exons. The record is from RefSeq and is a predicted model, not a curated record. Lineage: Eukaryota; Metazoa; Chordata; Mammalia; Carnivora; Herpestidae.
UUAACGGUCAACAGGCAAAACUGACACAUUGGAGCAUCUACUGAAAACAAUGGAAGAGAUGGCAACAGGGGGCCCUUUAUUCCCACGGCGACAAUGACGCACAGGACCUGAGUAGUCUAUCGCCACAUCUCAGAUGGCACGUCUACCCUCCAUUCCCCAGCCCCCAUUAUCCUUUCACUGGGACCUGGGUGUCCUCAUUUACAAUUCUUCUCACCCUGUUGCCUUUCUCCUCUGGCUGUAGAGUUAUCCUACAGCCACUGUUUGUGACCCCUGGCUUUCCCCGUUCCAUCCCCACACCUUAUUUUGCCCCAGCAUCACCACAAGGCGCAGAGGCUGGUAGAAGAUGGCUCAGAAUACCUGCACCACACUAAAUGCGCUCUGAGUCUUCCACAAGUAGGGAAAAACACCUGAUUCACUUAAUAGCAAUAAUGCGUCCCACACACUAGAUGUUUAAUAACCACCAGGCCUACGAGUGAUAAAGCUAAAUAAGCUCUUACAGUUGGAGGGUUGGGACAUGUGUUGCCACACCUCCUCAUCCUGAGGUCAAGGUCUAUGGGCGGUGAGGAUCUAAGCCACCACCCCCAAGAGGGCAGGAGCCACUCUGACCAGAUCUCACGCCCAUUUUAUUCGGGGGAGGAAUGAAAACAACUAACAGAUGUGA